RNAcentral lists this ribosomal RNA (928 nucleotides) under Calepitrimerus fopingi. RNAcentral's name for it is "partial 28S ribosomal RNA". It matches the Rfam family "Eukaryotic large subunit ribosomal RNA", at positions 366 to 944 of the family's 3401-position model. The record is from RNAcentral. Lineage: Eukaryota; Metazoa; Arthropoda; Arachnida; Trombidiformes; Eriophyidae.
AAAUAGAACUUUGCAGAGAGAGUUAAGAGGGCGUGAACCGUUAAUUGGCAAACGAAUCGGAGCCACGAAGUCGUUUCGUUGAAGUUGGGGCCAAGCUCAGUCCAGGAGAGAUCUUGGGCGUAUUCUUGUGCUCAACCUCUUUGUAAGCGUACACUGCAACUAGUUAGACAAUUGGAGAUGGGCCCAGUUGGUUUAGGCUCUGCGCAAGCUUUGCUUAGAUCAAUGCAGCAUUUGUUUAUCUCUGGUAGUAGUAGUGUGAUAGUUUUCGGACUAUUGUGUUGCUGGCCAGGUGAUGAGUGAACUAUCCCCAAAUACUGACUAGCAAAAUGAAAAUCGCCACUUGUGGCGUGACACAGAAUGCAACCGUUUACAUUAGUGUCUACAUGCUUGACCAUGUGCUUUUAAGUUCGGUAGUUUUGAAUUUGGACUUGCUAGCUACCAGUGGGGCAACUCCUGGUGCUAGUAUAGCUUCCAUCUAAUCGGCUACUGACUUGAGUAUGUGUAGUUCGGGUAUGCUACGAUAGGACGCUAAUGUAAGAUGGCUCGCAAUCGAUUGGCAGUGAGUAGGUCGGCUUUCCGAACGACCCGUCUUGAAACACGGACCAAGGAGUCUAAUUAGGCAUCAGUCGAUCGGUCUUGAUAGGCCAGACUGGGCACCUCGUGUGCCCGAUUGAAGGCGUAGAGAAAUCAAAUCGUGUGAUCAUUGGGGCAACAACAGUCCUUAUGCGCAACACGUGCCUGCUCGUAUAGCAAUGCCCUCGGGCUUGCUGGGCGGAGCAAAGAGAUGCCUGAUUGGUACCCGAAAGAUGGUGAACUAUGCUUGGGCAAAUUGAAGCCAGAGGAAACUCUGGUGGAGGAUUGUAGCGAUUCUGACGUGCAAAUCGAUCGUCAGACCUGAGUAUAGGGGCGAAAGACUAAUCGAACCAUC